GUCUGUAUCCGUGCCACCCUGAACGCACCUUAUCUUGGAAGCUAAGGAGGUUCGGCUUGGGUUCGUACCUGAGUGGGAGAAAGGGAAGAGAUGGAAAAG
RNAcentral lists this ribosomal RNA (99 nucleotides) under Cebus imitator (Panamanian white-faced capuchin). The record is from RNAcentral. Lineage: Eukaryota; Metazoa; Chordata; Mammalia; Primates; Cebidae.